UGGUCAUAUACCAAGGCUUUCAGGAUCCGGUGUUCCUGUCUUGCUGUGGACUUGACCAGAAAUCAAAAACCAUCCCAGUGAGCAUCUGCAGCAGCAUUUUGCAGAAAACUCGCUGGGGACAUGA
RNAcentral lists this small nucleolar RNA (124 nucleotides) under Gambusia affinis (western mosquitofish). Its description in RNAcentral is "Small nucleolar RNA SNORA32 (ENSGAFG00000015744.1)". The record is from RNAcentral. Lineage: Eukaryota; Metazoa; Chordata; Actinopteri; Cyprinodontiformes; Poeciliidae.